UACGGGGGGGGCAAGCGUUGUUCGGAAUUACUGGGCGUAAAGCGCGCGUAGGCGGCUUUUCAAGUCAGACGUGAAAGCCCCAGGCUUAACCUGGGAAUUGCGUUUGAUACUGUUAGGCUAGAGUGUGGAAGGGGCUACUGGAAUUCCGUGUGUAGCGGUGAAAUGCGUAGAUAUACGGAGGAACACCAGCGGCGAAAGCGACUUCCUGGACCAGUACCGACGUUCAGGCACGAAAGCGUGGGGAGCAAACAGG
This 253-nucleotide ribosomal RNA is filed under the name uncultured bacterium. RNAcentral's name for it is "partial 16S ribosomal RNA". It matches the Rfam family "Bacterial small subunit ribosomal RNA", at positions 524 to 776 of the family's 1533-position model. The record is from RNAcentral.